CCAGUUUUUCUUUACCUUUGUGGUUGCUGGGCGACUGGGGUGUCUGGUACCUGCUGCAGCAAGUCUCAGAAAAUGCCACACCGCUUGUUCUCUUCAAUCGAGGAGGAGCUCUUAUUGAUCUUCCAUGGAGCUCCAACAUGACCAAACUGUGCUGAAAAUAUCAGAUCGGUGAAAAAGACGAACCUGCCUUCACAAACAAACGCGGUCUCUCUGCCCAAUGCUCGAGUUUUGAAGCUUAAGAAGUACUUCUUUCACUAGAAGGGGAAGCUAUGGAUGCCUUUCUCUUUCCCCUUUGCUGAAGAUCUCGCUCUUUUCAGCUCAAAAAACAGUUACUGGAGGCUUCGGGUACUUUGCUUUAGAUUUGGAUGUUUUCAUGCCGGUGGACAAGCCUGUUCAUACUUAUGAUUGCAAGAUCACCCAACUAUGCUGUUGAUCCAAUUAUUAAAAACAAGGGUGGUCCUUCGGUUGGAUAUUGCAACACUGCCACCAUGCUGAAGCAGAUUCUGAGCAAACUACCUCGGAAGCUACCAAAAGCAGACCGAGAUUCUGGAGGGAGUGAUUCUGGCAACACUACUACCAAUUUGGGCAGUGGCUUUCAAUGUACAAACGUUGGUAGUGCCCUUUCAAGCAAGUUAAAUGUUGUGAAACGGGUGUCUUCGGCAGUUUUUCCCACAAGCACUGCAACUGGAGUUGAAGCAGUGGAAGCUCAUCUAUCCUUCAAAGAUGUUUCGAAUUCCCAAAAGCAGAAUCUUUUCGUCAGCAAGUUGAACCUGUGCUGUGAGGUUCAUGAUUUUAAUGAUCCAGAUAAGCAAGAUAUUAAACGUCAAGCAUUGUUAGAACUCGUUGAUUUUGUUUCUGCUGGAUCUGCGAAGUUCACUGAACCAGCAAUUGCUGCAUUGUGUAAAAUGUGUGCAGCUAACCUGUUCAGGGUUUUCCCACCUAAAUAUCGUUCUAAUUGUGCUGGGGGUGAGACAGAAGAUGAAGAACCAAUGUUUGAUCCUGCUUGGUCACUUCUGCAAAUUGUGUAUGACCUACUUCUUCGAUUUAUCGGUUAUAGUUCUCUUGAUGCAAAGGUGGCCAAAAAGUAUAUAGAUCAUUCUUUUAUUUUGAGAUUACUUGACCUCUUUGAUUCUGAGGACCCAAGGGAAAGAGACUGUUUGAAAACAAUCCUGCAUAGAAUAUAUGGGAAAUUCAUGGUCCAUAGGCCUUUUGUUCGAAAGGCUGUUAGCAAUAUCAUCUAUCGAUUUGUUUUAGAAACUGAGCGACAUAAUGGAAUUGCUGAGCUGUUGGAGAUUUUUGGGAGUGUGAUUAGUGGGUUCGCGUUGCCUUUGAAGGAGGAACACAAGAUGUUCCUAUGGAGGGCCAUGAUUCCUCUGCACAAACCAAAAUCAAUUGGAAUUUAUCAUCAACAAUUAACCUAUUGUGUUGUACAGUUUAUAGAUAAGGAUCCAAAGUUGGCCAGCACUGUGAUUAAGGGACUGUUGAAGUACUGGCCAGUUACAAAUAGCCAGAAGGAAUUGAUGUUUAUAAGCGAGUUGGAAGAGAUUUUGGAAAUGACUAGUAUGGUUGAGUUCCAGAAGAUCAUGGUCCCUCUGUUUCGGCGCUUAGGAUGCUGUCUCAAUAGCUCUCAUUAUCAGGUGGCUGAACGUGCCCACUUGCUAUGGAAUAACGAGCACAUCCUUAAUCAUGUCUCACAUAACAGGCAGGUGAUUCUGCCUCUAGUGUUCCCAGCUCUUGAGCGGAACACUAAGAAUCACUGGAAUCAAGCUGUGCUCAACCUGACUCUAAAUCUGAGGAGAAUGCUUUCUGAGAUGGAUGAGGAGCUGGUGAUUGCCUGCCAACGUAAGUUGGAGGAGGAAGAUUCAAGGUUAAGUGUGGAAGCUGAGAAGCGGAGAUUGACAUGGGAACGCCUGGAAAUUGCUGCUGGUCUCCAACAUUAGCUGGUAAUCUUAGUUCUGUAAAACCUGGCUCGUGCUCUGUCUCUUGCUAAUUACGUUGGUAACAAUCCGGGGGAAACAAAUCAGAAAAGUCAUUGUCACAGCUUUAUUAUAGUACCGGACAUAGGUUGUUGAAUAUUACCUAGACUGGAAUGCCAAUAGGGUUUCCAUCUGCACUAAGAUGCUGUGUUGUAAUUGUGUUGAGUGGUUAUGCUGCUGCCUUGAAGGUUCUUUCUGUGCACAGGAGGUUGGGUUGACGGGAUUGCUUGCAAUUGUGUGAAUUGAUCUCUCCUGUAUCCUUUGCCCAAGAGCUGAUUGUUCUUACCUAUAUUUCUAUUUAUUCUGUUGUGCCCCUUAA
Molecule: RNA transcript, 2295 nt
Organism: Carya illinoinensis
Lineage: Eukaryota; Viridiplantae; Streptophyta; Magnoliopsida; Fagales; Juglandaceae
Gene name: serine/threonine protein phosphatase 2A 57 kDa regulatory subunit B' kappa isoform-like
Exons: 4
Source: RefSeq, a predicted model, not a curated record